ACGGUGGUGGUUCCCUGGUAGAAUUCUCACCUUCAAUGCAAGUGACCUGGGUUCGAUUCCCAGCCAAUGCA
This 71-nucleotide transfer RNA is filed under the name Loxodonta africana (African savanna elephant). It matches the Rfam family "tRNA". From Rfam's summary of the family: Transfer RNA (tRNA) molecules are approximately 80 nucleotides in length. Their secondary structure includes four short double-helical elements and three loops (D, anti-codon, and T loops). The record is from Rfam by way of RNAcentral. Lineage: Eukaryota; Metazoa; Chordata; Mammalia; Proboscidea; Elephantidae.